This 485-nucleotide ribosomal RNA is filed under the name uncultured bacterium. RNAcentral's name for it is "partial 16S ribosomal RNA". It matches the Rfam family "Bacterial small subunit ribosomal RNA", at positions 30 to 506 of the family's 1533-position model. The record is from RNAcentral.
AUUGAACGCUGGCGGCAUGCCUUACACAUGCAAGUCGAACGGCAGCACGGGUGCUUGCACCUGGUGGCGAGUGGCGAACGGGUGAGUAAUACAUCGGAACAUGUCCUGUAGUGGGGGAUAGCCCGGCGAAAGCCGGAUUAAUACCGCAUACGAUCCACGGAUGAAAGCGGGGGACCUUCGGGCCUCGCGCUAUAGGGUUGGCCGAUGGCUGAUUAGCUAGUUGGUGGGGUAAAGGCCUACCAAGGCGACGAUCAGUAGCCGGUCUGAGAGGACGACCAGCCACACUGGGACUGAGACACGGCCCAGACUCCGACGGGAGGCAGCAGUGGGGAAUUUUGGACAAUGGGCGAAAGCCUGAUCCAGCAAUGCCGCGUGUGUGAAGAAGGCCUUCGGGUUGUAAAGCACUUUUGUCCGGAAAGAAAUCCUUGGCUCUAAUACAGUCGGGGGAUGACGGUACCGGAAGAAUAAGCACCGGCGAACUACGU